CCCGGUGAUCUUAUCCACAGAGAUCCACUUGUUUUCAGUCGAAGAUGUGGCCGUCCUCCGCACGCUGUUUUUGCACGUAGAAGAUGGGCUGUAUAGGGUUAGAUCACUCCUGCUGUUAUUUAUGCCUUUCAAUUUGAGAUCACACUAUUUAUACAUGGCUACCUCAGCCCAACCCCCAGCUCUCCCUGUCUCCAGCAAUUACUGACUGCUCCAUAGUCGCAGGCGGACUCCUAGCAGCUAUCUCCCCCACCUCAGUCCAGCAAUUGGCUUUCUUUUCAUUUCAUCACUCUUUGGCAUCUUUGCACCUUGAUUUAGGGACGCAAGGAGGCAAAAGCGAAAAAGAGGGGGAGAGAGAGAGGGAGGGAGAGAGAGGAAUAAAAGGGAGGGGGGGCGAAGAAGAAAACAUGAAAAUAGGUAUCUGCAUUCUGUAAAGGGGUUGCAGAAAUGAAAGUCGAGGAAGACUUAAUUGAUUGUAAGGACAUCCCGUGCGUGGCAACACUGUGAGUAAAAGCGGACCCACAGCUAAUCAAAUAACUGUGUUCCUGCAAUUAAAUGUAUCGCUGUCAAGAGGAAAAGAAAAUGAGUGUUCAAUAAAAAGGGUUGCAGAAGAGAUUGAUUCAGCAGAAAGGCAGAAAGGUUUGUGUAUGUCCCGGCAGCUUUAUGGCCCAGAUUGUGCAGGAUAAAAGGUUGAAAUCCUGCUGGUUUUGCAGCCUGACAGAUCACACUGGAGUGAUGGCCGUUCCUUGCUGGUAGACCUUGAGAAGAUUUUGCUCAUUGACUGAAGUGGAAAGGAGGAGAGAAGUGGGUAGCAUUUGCAAAGGAGAAGCAAGAGAAGAAUAGAUGUCAGCUGCAAAAGUUACAUACUACAUUUUGUCCUCAUUUGAAAUACAUGGGUAGCUGCUACACAUCUAGACAUCCAGGUAACCCAGAGAAGGCAACUGUGCAGGAACUGAAUGAACACAAUAGAAACCUAUCUCCAGCAGAAGCUGGAGAAUAAGAGUUGGAACCAAGGCUACUGGUUUCUAGUCCCUCCUCUCCUUUUGAUGCACUGUCUGAGCCUGUAGAGGUUAAUGCCAGAACCCCACAGACACCUAAGGGCUCACUUCAACUGAUUCAGUAAUCUGGAAUCUGGAAAAGCCUCACAGAUCCAUGUCUUUUCUGCUGUGUUUAAUAGAAGCACAAAGAAGCUCAGCAUGAGUGCUGUAGAUGUUGCUCAGAGUUUAGAAAGAGCUAUCAGUUAUGGUAGAUUUCCUCAGGAGAAAAAAAAAAAUAGUCCCAAAUUGCCAAUAUGCCACUUUAAAAUGAGGUAAUUUGGAGGUUUUCUUGAUUCACACAAUCCUUUGAAGCAACUCAGCAAGAUGUGCAUUAUCAACAAAAAAAAGAAACAAUGUGGGAGGAAACAAAAGAUAUUAUCUAUGUAUACAAUUAAAAAAAAAAAAGGAACAGAACACAGAAAUGACCAUCCAUUAUAGUUCACUGUUUGAAAAUACUCUUACAGAAUAAAUUCUCAUUAAAAGAAGAAAAAAAAAAGGAAGAAGAAGUGGAAUAAUUGCCAUUAUGCAUCUGAGAGAGUGUAUCUCCAUUAGCUGCAAUUACUACAGUAAUGGUAAAUGAAAAUAAUUUCCUAUUUUGCACUUAUUGUGAGGAAACACUGAAGAGAAAAAAAAAAAAGAGACAUGAAACGAGAGAAAAACAAAGUAUAACAAUUAAUAUACUGAUGAUCUGCUAUCAUCUCUCACCUGAUCGAUCAUCAUGAGGUUUUGGUUUGAUUUAAUUAGCGUAUGGUAAUUUCAUACAGAAUCCCAGUGUGCCGAUGAAAACUGGCGAGUGAAAACAUUGACCUUCUGCUCACAUAUGCAAUGUCUUCUUACAGUGCUAACAGCCUAUAUGCAUCAAUGCUAAAAGGCUGCCGUCUCACAGGAGAGCCCCUGUAUCGGGGGCAUAUCAUUACUGCCUACAGCGAGAUCAGAGUUUGGCUCCUCUUGGUGCACUGGAGUCUAGGGAGCGAAAGGGACGUCGGUUUUCGCCAGAAUAAUAAUUGGUUGUUAUGAGAUUAUGGAGUGCUGCCAUAAACUGAAAAUGAACAGACAAGUUUCUUUUUGUUUGUUUUAUUAAAUGUGAUUAUUGUUAUUUAUUAUGUUCUCGGUCGUCAAUUUUCUCGGAGUCGCUAACAAAGUGUCACAUAAAUCCAGCCUGUCCCUUUCUGACCCUUAUAACAUCAUCCAGUUUUCCCAUUCAGCCUUAAUUCCAGGUAUCAGCUAAUGUGAAAACAUGCACUUUAUUAAAUGGCAAGUUUUCUACUAAACACAUUUCUUCUGCAGUAGGAAGCAACUGCAUUAGAAAUAAAUAUCUCGGCCAGACCUCCUGCAUACUUCUCCCAAUUCAUAAGCAAAAAAAUAUGUUGUGGUCAAACCUACAUUGUUCCAUUUGCCAAUUGUAAAAUAAUAAUAACGUUUGAUGGGCAAAAAUCUCAGCUGUCGGGAGAGAAGAUGGACGAUUUUGCUUAUUGAAUGCUAUUGACUUCAUGGGGCAAAUAAAACA
Columba livia (rock pigeon) is the source of this 2541-nucleotide long non-coding RNA. RefSeq lists it as uncharacterized. Lineage: Eukaryota; Metazoa; Chordata; Aves; Columbiformes; Columbidae. The transcript is spliced from 3 exons. The record is from RefSeq and is a predicted model, not a curated record.